This 335-nucleotide unclassified non-coding RNA is filed under the name soil metagenome. RNAcentral's name for it is "partial contains 5.8S ribosomal RNA, internal transcribed spacer 2, and large subunit ribosomal RNA". The stretch from base 1 to 120 matches the Rfam family "5.8S ribosomal RNA", at positions 35 to 154 of the family's 154-position model. The record is from RNAcentral.
GAUGAAGAACGUAGCGAAAUGCGAUAAGUAAUGUGAAUUGCAGAAUUCAGUGAAUCAUCGAAUCUUUGAACGCACAUUGCGCCCGCCAGUAUUCUGGCGGGCAUGCCUGUUCGAGCGUCAUUUCAACCAUCAAGCCCCAGGCUUGUGUUGGGGACCUGCGGCUGCCGCAGGCCCUGAAAACCAGUGGCGGGCUCGCUGUCACACCGGGCGUAGUAGAUUUUAUCUCGCUCAGGGCGUGCUGCGGGUCCCGGCCGUUAAAAGCCUUUUUUUACCCAAGGUUGACCUCGGAUCAGGUAGGAAGACCCGCUGAACUUAAGCAUAUAAUAAGCGGAGGA